This is a long non-coding RNA of Mauremys reevesii (Reeves's turtle), 2913 nucleotides long. RefSeq lists it as uncharacterized. The transcript has 4 exons. The record is from RefSeq and is a predicted model, not a curated record. Lineage: Eukaryota; Metazoa; Chordata; Testudines; Geoemydidae.
GGUGUGUUACUGGAGAGCUGGAUCGUGCAGACAUUGACAAAUGCCAGGAGGGAGACCUCACAGGUACAGAGGUGAAGAGCAGGAGAAACCCCACCCAACAGAGUGUACAGCCCUUCUGGGCCCCAGAGGUUUGGGGGAAGAGACCCUGCCAGAGGGCAAAGACUGAAGUGGGCAUCUGGCCUGCCGCCACUACGAACACAGGAGCUACUGGAGACUAAGAGGUUCCCCUUUCAGGGAGGAUGGGAGGAAACCCUGCUCUGAUGAGGUGGAACACUGGCAGGUCACCUGACUGUUAGUCUGCCCAGCAACUAGGACAGCAUAUAACACCUUUGCUCCAGUGAGAAGGGACUGCACAUUUUGGAGGUAGCAUGUGCUGCUGCUGUCAGGUAGUGAGUGCUGCUAUUCAAUGGAUAGCUCACAUCCACCCAUGAUGGCACAGGGAAAGAAGAUCUACUAAGAAGAGAACAGAGUGGUCAUCUACCUGUUCUGAGGUCCUGCUUCCAGUACCUGUUGGUGACAUCUGGAUCUGGAGUUCAGCCAGUUGUGAUGGUGUAACCUGUCCAUCAAGCUGCAAGAGAUGUUUUCUUUGAAGUAAAACAAACUUCUUGAUAGAAACAAGGUAUAAAAUCCAGUCAACAGUGCAUGCCUGAGGAGUUUGGAGGUACCCUAGCUGGAGUCUUACAUUCAGGCUCUUUGACCAGCCCCUUCAUAGGAACUGCAGCUGAGUGUCCCUACCUGUAUAUAUGCUGGUGAAAGUGCAGGAUGGAGCCUGGAGAGGGCUUUUCAGCUUGUCACAGCAGUACAGUGCAAGAGGGAGCCCAGGUCGGUGGGUCGGGGGGCUCAAUGGUACCCCAAUGGCACCCCUGGGGGAACCCAUCACACUGGGAUCACGGACUUCCCCCACACCCAGACACAAGGGUGGCAUCUGACAGUGGAUCCCCACCACCAUGUCAGACGAAGGAGCAUCUGCCAGAAAAGCGACAAAGAAACUGGCUCCAACCUCCUCUCCUCGGGAAUCUGCAAAAAAGAGAUGUUCCCUGACCCGUCAGACCUCAUUGGUACCAAGAGCACCGAUACUGGCCACCUCUGAGGUAGCGGAACCAUCCAGUACCACAUGUACCAUGCAAGCCAAAAUCCCUAAGCCAAAAAACUGGAUCAGAAAAAGGCAUUAAAGGGAAACCCACCAUUCCUGCCUUGGUACUUCUGGAACUGCUCACACAUGUGGCACCAAGCAGCUCCACAGCAUUUGUCUAUCGCACCACCUUCUGCCUACACUGCUCAGAGCCCAUGCCCCUCGGCACCGACAAUUACGGUAAAGACGUUGGUGCCACUGACAACACACUCCCCGGUAUCAGUGCUCUUAGUACUGCAGCAAUUUCCCUGCCAUAAAGAUCUGGUAUCCUUGGCACUGGCAUCUCUACUCCUUGGUACUGACUUUACUACAGCUCACUUGUACUAUUCCAAGUUACUACACCACCCAGAUCAGCUCCUCCUUUAUCCAGCGAUGAGGAUGAGGAUGAUGAAGAGGAAAUCUACUCCUCUUAUCACUCCUUGCUAUCCACAGUUACCAGACCAGGUGCACCAAAACACCAUCGGCUCUCCAACUCAUCCCUCCUGAUAUUGCCGAUGUCUGGUGAUGUGAUCUAUGUAGAUGUCCCUCGACCACCUAAAGGCGUGGCAACACCAUGAGUUGCCGUAUCAGCCGAUGUGUAGUGCUGACCGAUUCCACAUUCUCUGAACACUUGCUCAUUACUGGGCAAGAAUCUUCAUUACUCAAGAAUCUUCACAACCUCUAGCCUGAAAUACAAGCCCCAAUUCCUUCAUGAGACCUCAGUCUGGUGCUGCGAUGCCUUACAGGGCCCCUUUUUGAACCACUAGCAACAUACUCACUUCUACAUUUCUCGCUAUCUGUCCGAUGAGUGGAAGAACUGGGGGCCCUCCUGGCACAUCCCCCAUACACAAUAUUUUUCAAAAACAAAGUUACCCUAUGAUUGCACCCCAAGUUCCUACCUAAAAAUAGUUUUGUCAUUUUAUUUGAAUCCACCCAUCCAUCUACCAUCAUUCUUCCCAAAACCUCAUGGGAACAAACAAGAAGCAAUGCUUCAUACCCUGGAUGUCUGAAGGCCGCUAGCCUUUACAUUGAAAGGACAAAGUCUUUCAGAAAGUCACCAAAGUUAUUUCUUUCCAUCACAGAAUGAUCUAAGGGAGAUGCUAUAUCCAAACAAAGGCUGUCAAAAUGGAUCUCUGACUGCACUGACUUUUGCUAUCAUCAUCAACAGAUACAAACCUCACCAGGGACCCACACACACUCCACCAGAGCUUUUUCUACACUGAUAGCUUUCCUCAAUAAUGUGCCCAUUGUGGACAUUUGCAGAGCAGCAACCUGGGUCUCUUCCUAUACAUUCACACUGCACAAUACCAUAGAGCAGUACGUGACAUCAGACACUAUACUGGGACUUGCGGUUUUAUCAUCUGCCAUGACUGCAACUCAAGAGCCCUUCCCUUCCACUGAGGGGCACUGCUCUAGUGUCACCUAAAGUGGAGCACCCUCUGGGACAGACCUUGAAGAAGAAACGAAGGUUACUCACCCUUUGCAGUAACUGAGGUACUUCGAGAUGCUUGUCCCUGUGGGUGUUCCAGUACCCUCCUGCCUCCCUUCUACUUUGGACUUUUCAUACUAGAGACUCUGCAAUAGAGAAGGAACUGAUGGAUGGGAGGAGGGUUGGUCGCACAUUGCUUUGUAACCGCCAUAGGCAGCGUGAGAUGGGGACAGCACAUGUGCAGCCCAACCAGGUACCAUUACUAAAAAUCUGCGAUUACAAGUGCAGAGAACUUAUGUUCUUAUGUAAAUUGGAGCACCGACAGGAACAACCCUGUUCAAUAAUCCCUGAAUAAUUGUGCAGGGUGAGUAAC